This 5194-nucleotide long non-coding RNA is filed under the name Salvia miltiorrhiza (redroot sage). Its description in RNAcentral is "long non-coding RNA (SMIL_LNC008066)". Lineage: Eukaryota; Viridiplantae; Streptophyta; Magnoliopsida; Lamiales; Lamiaceae. The record is from RNAcentral.
AGGAUUGCACUCCUCUAAUUCAAUGGUCGUGAUCGAAGACUGAUCAUCCGACAAAUCGAGUUGUUGCAAUUUGUAGCAGUGCUUCAUCCUUAGUGCACGAAGCCUCGGGAGGCUUCCACGUUGAGGUCUCCAUUGCACCAAAUCGGUGUCUUCAAUUCGAAGUUCAAUAAGUUCCAAGAAACUCCCCGAUUUUAUUUCCCACUCUGAGCCUCGAAAGGCAUAGCAUUGUAAUGUGAGAAGCUCGAGUUUUGGCAGCAGCGAACCAAUGUCAUUUAGAGACUCCCAAGGAUAUCCCGACCCUUUCAAAGAUAACAUUAUGAGACUUGAUGGGAACAUUGAAAGAUGAAGAAUAGUAGGAAACUCACGCUUUAUCUCUGGAUUCGUGAUUUCAUAUAUAAGCGUUUUCAAAUUCUGGAGUUUUGAUAUAUAACUCAAGGAACUCAAUGGGCUGGUUUCAUCAUCAUCAUAAGGCUUCAACUCAACUUCAAUCAUUAAAUCCCUUAAAUUAGGAAUUCUUUUGAGAACUUCCCUUGUACAACUGUUUGCACUCACACCAAAAAGUGAGGUGAGUUUGUUCAAGUACAUCAUUAGAUUAGGGGUGGUCAGGUCCCUUCCCGUACUCUAAUUGUAGUUCUUGCAUGUCCAAAUUUGCAAGGCAAAGACUGAACCCCACGCUUUAAUGAUCAUAUUCUAUAAUAAUCAAGAAUUGAAGUUGAAAAAGGUUGGAUAUGGAAGCAGGGAGGUCACCGUUGUAAGUUAUGGCAAGAUAUCGUAGACAAACUAGUUUGAAAAUUUCACUUGGGAUAUGGUAAAAUCGGACAUUAAUAGCAUGCAGUACCCUGAGCAACUUCAAACCCAUGGCAUGUAUUGGUAUUGGAUAUGGGUGAUAAGGACCAUAACAAAGGAGAGAACGGACAGUGGAUGCACAAUCACUUUUUAUCGAAUCACACACUUGUUUGAAGCAGAAUAAACUGUUCCAAUGGGCACACAAGCGGCGUUGGUCUUUCAUAACAUCAUCACAACUUUGUAAGACAUGCAGAAACUUGACCCUACUAGCUUCUUCCCUACACACGUGCUGCCAACAAGAAUGCACACGAUACUUGCUAUACCAAGAUAAAUAGUCAUCCUCCUGUGAUGUGUUGAGAACAAGAUGAUACCACAUACAAAGCUUGCCAAGCAUGUCGCCAAAAAUUUCAAAACUUCUUCUCCACUGGUUGAAGAAACACUCAGCACUCAACGUAGGUUGAGUGGUAGGAAUCCAAUAUGGAGAAGCCCAUGUAGAGAAAAACAUUUUUAAAUAUUGGGUAAGUAAUCAUAGCUUGGAAAAGUACCUUUGAUAUUUGAUUAUAUGCAUCCACAAAGACUGAACUACGUUGUUUGAUGAGUAUCUCAGUCCAGUAUUCUGGGGUCUUGUCAACUUUUGCUAGGAGCUCCGCAAUUGUGACUAUCAUAAGAGGAAGACCUUCACAUUUUUUGGCAAUCUUCUCUCCGAGUUUCUCAAGUUGAGGAGGGAAACCCUCUUCACCAAAAACCUUCUCACCAAGUAGUUCCUUACUUUCUUCUUCAUUCAGCAAGCGCACUCUUUUGUACCCAUGCUGCGAGAAUUUUAUAUUAUCUCUACUUGUAAGUAAGAAUCGAAUCCUUCUACCAAUUUUCUUUUCUCGUAAGCAACUUGUCAAGCUAUGAGUUGCUUUCCAAACAUCAUCCAACACGAUGAGACAUUUCUUAUGCUUCAAUGUUUCUUUCAAUCGUCCAACUAAUUCGUCCUCAUCAUCAUCUCCUUGGAUAAGCAUUUGGUAAGCGUUGGGAUCCACUUGAGCUAGAACACAUCGUAAUAGUUCAUUAGAUUCACAUUUUCUGCCCACUUUGACCCAUGCUCGAAACUCAAAAUGGCUCCGAAUUGAUGGAUCUUCAAAAAUAUGCUUAGCAAGAGUUGUCUUUCCAACGCCCGCCAUCCCAAUAAUCGAAUAGUGUUUAUCUUCAAGAAGAUUAUCUCUUGCUUUUUGAAAUUCAUCAGAUAAUCCAACCAUCUUUGAUUUGAUUCCACCAAAAUCGAUUCUUGAGGAAAUAGGCUCGCCUUCUUCUUCUGGCAUAUUCUCCAUUUCAUAAGUGUAUUCCUCCUCCAUCUUCUUCAUCUUCUCGACGAAGCAAUCAACAUGGUGUUGCAGACUCUGCAGCUCUACAGAGAAUGACAAGUUGUCCCUCUCGCUGUCGAGUUGUGGAAGAAUCUGAGGUAAGACAUGGGAUUCGAGUAAAUCUUCAAAUUCCCAAAUUGCCUCUUUGAUUCGUUCAUCCGCAGCAUUCACCUUCGUCCUGAUCUUGCUGCAGCUGGUCUCGUCCAAUUUGAGCAGAACAUUCUGCAAGCGAUCCACCUCGUCGUAGGCAGGUAGUAAGAUCUGUGGAGAGGGGGAAAUGCAAAACAAUUGUAGAAUACAGUGAAUCGUAUUCUUGAGAAAAGUCACUGCACCAUAAUCAGCUGAGGGUAGUAUUUGUGGAGAGUGGGAAACGAGAGAAAUGCGAGACGAUUGUAGAAUACGCUCAAUCGUAUUCUUCAGAGAAUCCGCCGCACCAUAAGCCGCCAUAUCCACAAACUUAGCUCAGAAAUUUUCUUCCAAAAACUGUGUGGUAGAAAUUGCCUAAGAAAGAAACGGAGAUGAAGAAGAAUUAUAAUAAGCAAAAUGAGAUGAAACAAAUGAUAGAUCUUCUGUGCUGUACCUCUCGUGGAGGAGUUGGCACAAGUCAACGGCGGCGGCGGCGGCAGCUGGUUUUGAUACAAUCUCAGAAACAUUCAAGAAUUUUAGUAAAUGAUUUUGAUACGAUGGUAAAAUGGAUGUAUUGAUGAUUUUGAAGGCAAAUUAAGGUGUGGAAGAAUAAUUACAGGGAAGAUUAAUUAUUAUGAAGAUUGAGCAGUUGAUCAAGCGCGUUGAAAAUUAUAACAGCGGCAAGCAAUCUAACUCAUAAAUAAUGACAAUUUGACAUUUUUACAUAAUUUAAAAUUUUGAAAUAAAUAAAUAUAUUGUGGCUAGGAGUGUACAUUAAAUAAAAAUACUGAUAAAUUUCAAACAUUAAUUUUCUACAUUGUUAGAGGUGUAACUCUGUUUAAUUUAUUUGGAUUAUCGAGUUUGACAUGAAUUUUUACUUAGAUUAGCUUAUCUUUUGAAAAGUUUGAUCAUUUAUAUUUACAUGCAAUUCAUCCAAUUUUUUACUUAUAAAUUAUAUGUCAAACAAAAUUGGAUUUUGGGUGGUUGUAUAUAUAGUCCCUAAUAAUAAUAAUAAUUUUAACCUUAUAACUCCUAUUAGAAAAAUUAUACAAUUAUAAACAAAUUCUGCUUAUACUAAAUUAUCCAUGAUGCUAACAAAUUUAGGAAUUUGAAAGUUCCUUGUGUUUUGGAUUGCUGGAGUUUGCAUCGAGGUGAUUAGGCACUUUCGUUCUUUUUGGGCUUACGAUUUUGAGUUCGGCCCAUGUUUUCCUAUUUCUUUAGAAUUCUGUUUGGGCUUUGGAUCCCUUAUCGGCCCUUUUAGUUUAUUAGGUGGUGUUGUUUUUUUUUUUUUGAGGCGGUGUUGCAUGUUGUUUCAAGGGCUUUAUGUUUUAUUUUUCGAUUAAUAUUUAAUUUAAGUAAUUAAUAUCCUUUUUUAAGGGAUUUAACUAAACCGGUAAACUUAAUUUUAAUAAGUAACAGAAUAUAAAUUUUAGCGUGAGUUCGAUUAGACAUGAGAGGUGAUGUGAUCUUCAUGUAGCAUUCAAAGCAUCUUAUAGGUAACUAUGAGACAUCUUUAAUGAAAAAUCAAUAAAUAAAGCCAACUACUCAACCAUCUCUCCUGCAUUUCGACACUAUAAAUAAAGCUUGAUAUAUAUGAGAUGGAAGUAUGAUAUAUUCAUUCAGAUUAAUUGCAGCAAACUCAUCUCUGCCACCAAUCUGUAAUCUACAUGCACUAUAAACACAGAUAGAGCAGUAAAGAAUAAUUCUUGCUUGCAAACUAAAGCAUUCACUAACUGUAAGAACACAUAAAAUUCAUGCACAAAGCAAAAAUUGCAGUCCUUAAAUAAGACACUAAUGUUUUCACACAAAUUCAACUUACAACAAUUUUAGUUACAAACACCACUCAGCACUGAGGUUUCAUAAUCCUCAACAAAUGAGUAUGAACAACAAUCUCAAUAUAUCAUUUGCAAAAGAGAUGGAAAAGAAACACAAUAAACAAGCAAUCAAUCUCAGAGAAAUUGAAACAGAAAUUAAUAAGUUAAUCAUGGAUUUAAUUCAAUCUGCUCUGGUCUGAUUCUAACACCUUGUUUGAUCCUCAUAUGAAAAUCUAUCUGUAAAGCCGGUUUCUCUGUCUUUUGAGUCUAACCAACUAAUUCCAAGUUCAUUUUGAAAUAUGAAGCCAGAAAUUAACUAUUAUACUGCCAGAAUCUGAGAUUUUUAAGCUAUUAAACAAACAAAUCAACUGAUUACACACAAAUGUCAAAACAAAGUGAAAAUCAUGCAUCACAACUAAUGCUUUCACACAAAUCCAACUUACAACAAUUUCGGUAACAAACUGCAUACACAAUUCAGCAUUCAGGUUUCAUAAUCCCCAACAAAAUCCAAAUCAAGUUACAAAUCCUUAAUUCAGACGACAACGUGAUACAAUCUACAUUAUGGGAUAACGCAGCGUCUGACCCCUUCAGCUCUCCCAUUUGCCUGAAAAGUGACAGAACUGUGACUAUAACAGAAGAUAUAUAUUUAUGACAUGAAUUGAUUUGGUUUGUAUGUGAAAAAAGAGAAGAAGCAGGGAAGAAACAUUAAGACGUGAUAUAUAUUGCAAAGUAGUGAGACUAACCUGUCAGGCAAGUUGCUAAUUCACUUGAGCUCAAAAAGAAGAUUUGACGAUAAGUUUGAAGGAAAACUUAUCUUUUAAUUGAUUGGCACAAGCCACAGCUAAAGGAUUGCACUCCACUAAUUUAAUGGUCGUGAUCGAAGACUGAUCAUCCGGCAAAUCGAGCUGUUGCAAUUUGUAGCAGUGCUCCAUCCUUAGUAUACGAAGCCUCGGGAGGCUUCCACGUUGAGGUCUCCAUUGCACCAAAUCGGUGUCUUCAAUUCGAAGUUCAAUAAGAUUCAAGAAACUCCCCGGUUUUAUUUCCCACUCUGGGCCUCGAAAGGCAUAGCAUUCUAAUCGGAGAAACCCGAGAUUUGGAAGCAGCGAACCAAUGUCAUUU